CCUACGGGUGGCAGCAGUGGGGAAUUUUGGACAAUGGGCGCAAGCCUGAUCCAGCUAUUCCGCGUGUGGGAUGACGGCCUUCGGGUUGUAAACCACUUUUGUAGAGAACGAAAAGUCUGUUGAUAAUACCGAUAGAUGAUGACGGUACUCUAAGAAUAAGCACCGGCUAACUACGUGCCAGCAGCCGCGGUAAUACGUAGGGUGCGAGCGUUAAUCGGAAUUACUGGGCGUAAAGGGUGUGCAGGCGGUUUUGCAAGAUGGAUGUGAAAGCCCCGGGCUUAACCUGGGAAAGCCAUACAUGACUGCAAGACUAGAGUGCGUCAGAGGGGGGUGGAAUUCCAAGUGUAGCAGUGAAAUGCGUAGAUAUUUGGAAGAACACCAGUGGCGAAGGCGGCCGCCUGGCCUGUGACUGACGCUGAGGCACGAAAGCGUGGGGAGCAAAUAGGAUUAGAUACCCUGGUAGUC
This 465-nucleotide ribosomal RNA is filed under the name uncultured bacterium. RNAcentral describes it as "partial 16S ribosomal RNA". It matches the Rfam family "Bacterial small subunit ribosomal RNA", at positions 338 to 795 of the family's 1533-position model. The record is from RNAcentral.